This 253-nucleotide ribosomal RNA is filed under the name uncultured bacterium. Its description in RNAcentral is "partial 16S ribosomal RNA". It matches the Rfam family "Bacterial small subunit ribosomal RNA", at positions 524 to 776 of the family's 1533-position model. The record is from RNAcentral.
UACGGAGGGUGCAAGCGUUAUCCGGAUUCACUGGGUUUAAAGGGUGCGUAGGUGGGUCUGUAAGUCAGUGGUGAAAUCUCCGAGCUUAACUUGGAAACUGCCAUUGAUACUAUAGGUCUUGAAUACUGUGGAGGUCAGCGGAAUAUGUCAUGUAGCGGUGAAAUGCUUAGAUAUGACAUAGAACACCAAUUGCGAAGGCAGCUGGCUACACAAAUAUUGACACUGAGGCACGAAAGCGUGGGGAUCAAACAGG